Molecule: long non-coding RNA, 695 nt
Organism: Poecilia latipinna (sailfin molly)
Lineage: Eukaryota; Metazoa; Chordata; Actinopteri; Cyprinodontiformes; Poeciliidae
Exons: 3
Source: RefSeq, a predicted model, not a curated record
UGAAGAGGAGCGGUUUGGCCAAAAUGGCUGCUGUUUGUAACACGAUGCAAAGAGAGCUAGCUGAAGCUGUUUAAGGAGAAGCGUAAUGUCCUGACGUGUCAGGAUCCUGAACGCAGCUCUGCCUCGGCUUCAUUCAGACGGAGAAAGAAGCUCUGCAUGUUCAAAGGCUUCACCGAGUCUUUAUGAAUAUGUGUGAACGGAUCGAUGUGGCCUUUUCCUGAGGAGACGAUUUGGUUUCGUCUGGAACAACAAACUGGUUUCAACCGACAAACCAAACCAAGUGUCCAUGUUGGAUCUGAGCUCAUGAACGGAGAUUUAAACAGAUUUAUCCGAUAAGGAGAGCAGCCGGUUCUGACCCGCUUCCUGACCCGAGAAAUCAGUCCAACCGGACAGAUGGUUGACCUUUAACCUCUCUUCUAUGACUGAAUUUUGACCCAGUUUUUACAAGCUAAACAUGCACUAACUUUUAAACUAUUAUUGCUUUUUAUGUUACUUUGAAACCGAUCUCAUGACUUUUCUUUAUUUAUGUUAUAAAACUUGAAAAUAGGAAAAUUUACUGCAAAUGUUCUGAGCUGCUGCUCAAAUAUCCAAACUGCAUUAACUCAAUCAAAGUACGCAUGGAAGAAGAGCAUAAAAACAGGUUUUCAGAUAAAACCAUGAUCAAUAAAUCAAUAUAAAAUAUUUUGCGUAAGAGA